This 468-nucleotide ribosomal RNA is filed under the name uncultured bacterium. Its description in RNAcentral is "partial 16S ribosomal RNA". It matches the Rfam family "Bacterial small subunit ribosomal RNA", at positions 28 to 507 of the family's 1533-position model. The record is from RNAcentral.
GACGAACGCUGGCGGCGUGCUUAACACAUGCAAGUCGAACGGAAAGGCCCUGCUUUUGUGGGGUGCUCGAGUGGCGAACGGGUGAGUAACACGUGAGUAACCUGCCCUUUACUUUGGGAUAACUUCAGGAAACUGGGGCUCAUACCGGACAUGAGCUCCUGCUGCAUGGUGGGGGUGGGAGAGUUUCGGCGGUUGGGGAUGGACGCGCGGCUUAUCAGCUUGUUGGUGGGGUAGUGGCUUACCAAGGCUUUGACGGGUAGCCGGCCUGAGAGGGUGACCGGCCACAUUGGGACUGAGAUGCGGCCCAGACUCCUACGGGAGGCAGCAGUGGGGAAUAUUGCACGAUGGGCGGAAGCCUGAUGCAGCAACGCCGCGUGCGGGAUGACGGCCUUCGGGUUGUAAACCGCUUUCGCCUGUGACGAAGCGUGAGUGACGGUAAUGGGUAAAGAAGCACCGGCUAACUACGUG